AAGUCGUAACAAGGUUUCCGUAGGUGAACCUGCGGAAGGAUCAUUAGAGAAUGAAGUUUUUUGGGGUUUUAAAUUCCAAAAAAUAAUUCACCUUUUGUGCAUUGUUAUUAGAUAUACUUUGGUUAGAGCUUUGAUUUCAUUUAAUGGAAUCAACUUCUUGCUGACUCUAUCCUUUUUAAAGGACAGUUGGCUAUGAAGCGGCCUACCAAGGUUUUUUAUCAAACUCUUAUAUUUUGUCUGACCUAAAUAUCAAUAAUUAAAUCAUAACUUUCAACAACGGAUCUCUUGGCUCUC
This 294-nucleotide unclassified non-coding RNA is filed under the name fungal sp. RNAcentral describes it as "partial internal transcribed spacer region". The stretch from base 1 to 46 matches the Rfam family "Eukaryotic small subunit ribosomal RNA", at positions 1786 to 1831 of the family's 1831-position model. Lineage: Eukaryota; Fungi. The record is from RNAcentral.